RNAcentral lists this ribosomal RNA (446 nucleotides) under uncultured bacterium. Its description in RNAcentral is "partial 16S ribosomal RNA". It matches the Rfam family "Bacterial small subunit ribosomal RNA", at positions 338 to 795 of the family's 1533-position model. The record is from RNAcentral.
CCUACGGGUGGCAGCAGUCGAGAAUCAUUCACAAUGGGGGAAACCCUGAUGGUGCGACGCCGCGUGGGGGAAUGAAGGUCUUCGGAUUGUAAACCCCUGUCAUGUGGGAGCAAAUUAAAAAGAUAGUACCACAAGAGGAAGAGACGGCUAACUCUGUGCCAGCAGCCGCGGUAAUACAGAGGUCUCAAGCGGUGUUCGGAAUCACUGGGCGUAAAGGGUGCGUAGGCUGUUUCGUAAGUCGUGUGUGAAAGGCGCGGGCUCAACCCGCGGACGGCACAUGAUACUGCGAGACUAGAGUAAUGGAGGGGGAACCGGAAUUCUCGGUGUAGCAGUGAAAUGCGUAGAUAUCGAGAGGAACACUCGUGGCGAAGGCGGGUUCCUGGACAUUGACUGACGCUGAGGCACGAAGGUCAGGGGAGCGAAAGGGAUUAGAUACCCUGGUAGUC